CCUACGGGAGGCUGCAGUGGGGAAUAUUGCACAAUGGGGGAAACCCUGAUGCAGCGACGCCGCGUGAGUGAAGAAGUAUUUCGGUAUGUAAAGCUCUAUCAGCAGGGAAGAAAAUGACGGUACCUGACUAAGAAGCACCGGCUAACUACGUGCCAGCAGCCGCGGUAAUACGUAGGGGGCAAGCGUUAUCCGGAUUUACUGGGUGUAAAGGGAGCGUAGACGGCGCGGCAAGUCUGAAGUGAAAGGCAAGGGCUUAACCCCGGAACUGCUUUGGAAACUGCCAUGCUAGAGUGAUGGAGAGGUAAGUGGAAUUCCGAGUGUAGCGGUGAAAUGCGUAGAUAUUAGGAGGAACACCAGUGGCGAAGGCGGCUUACUGGACAGUAACUGACGUUGAGGCGCGAAAGCGUGGGGAGCAAACAGGAUUAGAUACCCGAGUAGUC
This 440-nucleotide ribosomal RNA is filed under the name uncultured bacterium. RNAcentral describes it as "partial 16S ribosomal RNA". It matches the Rfam family "Bacterial small subunit ribosomal RNA", at positions 338 to 795 of the family's 1533-position model. The record is from RNAcentral.